GGAGGAUUGGAUGAGUGGUUUAAAUCAACGGUUUACUAAACCGUCGUACCUUAACCGGUACCGUGAGUUCGAAUCUCACAUCCUCCGCAA
This 90-nucleotide transfer RNA is filed under the name Candidatus Nomurabacteria bacterium RIFOXYC2_FULL_36_8. Its description in RNAcentral is "tRNA-Ser". It matches the Rfam family "tRNA". From Rfam's summary of the family: Transfer RNA (tRNA) molecules are approximately 80 nucleotides in length. Their secondary structure includes four short double-helical elements and three loops (D, anti-codon, and T loops). Further hydrogen bonds mediate the characteristic L-shaped molecular structure. tRNAs have two regions of fundamental functional importance: the anti-codon, which is responsible for specific mRNA codon recognition, and the 3' end, to which the tRNAs corresponding amino acid is attached (by aminoacyl-tRNA synthetases). tRNAs cope with the degeneracy of the genetic code in two manners: having more than one tRNA (with a specific anti-codon) for a particular amino acid; and 'wobble' base-pairing, i.e. permitting non-standard base-pairing at the 3rd anti-codon position. The record is from RNAcentral. RNAcentral also lists the same sequence under 2 other names. Lineage: Bacteria; Candidatus Nomuraibacteriota.